UGGGGAAUAUUGCACAAUGGGCGCAAGCCUGAUGCAGCCAUGCCGCGUGUGUGAAGAAGGCCUUCGGGUUGUAAAGCACUUUCAGCGGGGAGGAAGGCGGUGAGGUUAAUAACCUCAUCGAUUGACGUUACCCGCAGAAGAAGCACCGGCUAACUCCGUGCCAGCAGCCGCGGUAAUACGGAGGGUGCAAGCGUUAAUCGGAAUUACUGGGCGUAAAGCGCACGCAGGCGGUCUGUCAAGUCGGAUGUGAAAUCCCCGGGCUCAACCUGGGAACUGCACUCGAAACUGGCAGGCUAGAGUCGUGUAGAGGGGGGUAGAAUUCCAGGGGUAGCGGUGAAAUGCGUAGAGAUAUGGAGGAAUACCGGUGGCGAAGGCGGCGACCUGGAAAAAGACUGACGCUCAGGUGCGAAAGAGUGGGGAGCAAACAGG
This 429-nucleotide ribosomal RNA is filed under the name Chloroflexota bacterium. Its description in RNAcentral is "Chloroflexi bacterium partial 16S ribosomal RNA". It matches the Rfam family "Bacterial small subunit ribosomal RNA", at positions 355 to 776 of the family's 1533-position model. Lineage: Bacteria; Bacillati; Chloroflexota. The record is from RNAcentral.